Molecule: long non-coding RNA, 355 nt
Organism: Solanum stenotomum
Lineage: Eukaryota; Viridiplantae; Streptophyta; Magnoliopsida; Solanales; Solanaceae
Exons: 3
Source: RefSeq, a predicted model, not a curated record
UUCAUCUUUAGUUGAGAUUUUCAUCCUAAAUUCUUGAAAUCGGAAACCCCUCCCAUUUUCAACCAUCAAGAAAUCUUACAAUUAAAGGCAAAGGUUCAUAGUAAAAGUGCAAAAUAAUACACAGAACAGAAAUGAAGCUAGAAGGAAACAUCAAUAAAGAUAGAAAAAUCACAGAAUUGAUUCGACCAACUAAGAUUUUCAGAAUUCAACAAGGUGCUAAAGAGUGACUUGAUUCUAUUUCUGUUGGUCUGGGUUAUAUUGAAGAUUAAGUACUAUCCCUUGCAGUUGAACUAAAGGAUAAAAUCCGCCAUCUGCAGUCCGUCCUGUCGUAAAUCCAGAAAUCUCAGUGAAGCAA